AUUCUUUUUGAACCAUUUUAAAACUCUUGUGAACCUUUACAAAAGGUUUUAAAAA
Molecule: small RNA, 55 nt
Filed under: Arabidopsis thaliana (thale cress)
Lineage: Eukaryota; Viridiplantae; Streptophyta; Magnoliopsida; Brassicales; Brassicaceae
Description: ATSL047410
Source: RNAcentral